GUAGGUGAACCUGCGGAGGGAUCAUUACUGAGUGAGGGCCCUCGCGGCCCGACCUCCAACCCUUUGUCAUCCGACUCUGUUCCCUCGGGGGCGACCCGGCCUUCGGGCCCGGGGCCCCCCGUGGACCCAUAACACUGCAUCCUUGCGUCUGAGUUACAGAUUAAAUCAAUCAAAACUUUCAACAACGGAUCUCUUGGUUCUG
This 202-nucleotide unclassified non-coding RNA is filed under the name rhizosphere metagenome. RNAcentral describes it as "partial ribosomal RNA internal transcribed spacer region". The record is from RNAcentral.